This 321-nucleotide ribosomal RNA is filed under the name uncultured Chloroflexota bacterium. Its description in RNAcentral is "bacterial SSU rRNA". It matches the Rfam family "Bacterial small subunit ribosomal RNA", at positions 28 to 351 of the family's 1533-position model. Lineage: Bacteria; Bacillati; Chloroflexota. The record is from RNAcentral.
GAUGAACGCUGGCGGCGUGCCUAAUACAUGCAAGUCGAGCGGAAGAUUUAGCAAUAGAUCUUUAGCGGCGAACGGGUGAGUAACGCGUUGGUGACCUGCCUCGAAGAUUGGGAUAACAGUUCGAAAGGACUGCUAAUACCGGAUGUGAUCCUGGAGAUUAGAGGCUCUGGGAUUAAAGGAGCAAUCCACUUCGAGAGGGGCCUGCGUCCCAUCAGCUAGUUGGUAAGGUAAAGGCUUACCAAGGCGAUGACGGGUAGGGGACCUGAGAGGGUGGCCCCCCACAAUGGAACUGAAACACGGUCCAUACACCUACGGGUGCAG